UCAAGUAAUUAAGUGCAUGUGGUGGAUGCCUUGGCAGUCAGAGGCGAUGAAAGACGUGAUAGCCUGCGAAAAGCUCCGGGGAGGCGGCAAAUAUCCUUUGAUCCGGAGAUGUCUGAAUGGGGGAACCCACCUACUUUAAGGUAGGUAUUGCAACAUGAAUACAUAGUGUUGCAAGGCGAACGAGGGGAAGUGAAACAUCUCAGUACCCUUAGGAAAAGAAAUCAAUUGAGAUUCCCUCAGUAGCGGCGAGCGAACGGGGAUCAGCCCAUUAAGUUAUGUGUGUUUUAGUGGAACGCUCUGGGAAGUGCGAACGUAGAGGGUGAUAUUCCCGUACACGAAAGGGCACACAUAAUGAUGACGAGUAGGGCGAGGCACGUGAAACCUUGUCUGAAUAUGGGGGGACCAUCCUCCAAGGCUAAAUACUCCUGACUGACCGAUAGUGAACCAGUACCGUGAGGGAAAGGCGAAAAGAACCCCUGUGAGGGGAGUGAAAUAGAUCCUGAAACCGCAUGCAUACAAGCAGUGGGAGCACCUUCGUGGUGUGACUGCGUACCUUUUGUAUAAUGGGUCAGCGACUUAUAUUCAGUAGCGAGGUUAACCGUAUAGGGGAGCCGUAGAGAAAUCGAGUCUUAAUAGGGCGUUUAGUUGCUGGGUAUAGACCCGAAACCAGGCGAUCUAUCCAUGAGCAGGUUGAAGGUUGGGUAACACUAACUGGAGGACCGAACCCACUGUCGUUGAAAAGCCAGGGGAUGACUUGUGGAUAGGGGUGAAAGGCUAAUCAAGCCUGGUGAUAGCUGGUUCUCCCCGAAAGCUAUUUAGGUAGCGCCUCGGACGAAUACCAUAGGGGGUAGAGCACUGUUUCGGCUAGGGGGUCAUCCCGACUUACCAAACCGAUGCAAACUCCGAAUACCUAUGAGUACUAUCCGGGAGACAGACUGCGGGUGCUAACGUCCGUAGUCAAGAGGAAAACAAUCCAGACCGCCAGCUAAGGCCCCAAAAUCAUAGUUAAGUGGGAAACGAUGUGGGAAGGCAUAGACAGCUAGGAGGUUGGCUUAGAAGCAGCCACCCUUUAAAGAAAGCGUAAUAGCUCACUAGUCGAGUCGGCCUGCGCGGAAGAUGUAACGGGGCUAAAACUAUGUGCCGAAGCUGCGGAUGUAUACUUUGUAUACGUGGUAGGGGAGCGUUCUGUAAGCCGAUGAAGGUGUGUUGAGAAGCAUGCUGGAGGUAUCAGAAGUGCGAAUGCUGACGUGAGUAACGACAAAACGGGUGAAAAACCCGUUCGCCGAAAGACCAAGGGUUCCAGUCCAACGUUAAUCGGGGCUGGGUGAGUCGACCCCUAAGGCGAGGCCGAAAGGCGUAGUCGAUGGGAAAAUGGUUAAUAUUCCAUUACUUCUGUGUAAUGCGAUGAGAGGACGGAGAAGGCUAAAUCAGCCUGGCGUUGGUUGUCCAGGUGAAAGGAUGUAGGCAUGUAUCUUAGGCAAAUCCGGGGUACUCUAUGCUGAGAUCUGAUAGCAAGCUGUACUUGUACAGCGAAGUGGUUGAUGCCAUGCUUCCAGGAAAAGUCUCUAAGCUUCAGUUACACAGGAAUCGUACCCGAAACCGACACAGGUGGUCAGGUCGAGUAGACCAAGGCGCUUGAGAGAACUCUGCUGAAGGAACUAGGCAAAAUGGUACCGUAACUUCGGGAGAAGGUACGCUGUUGUUGGUGAUGGAACUCGCUUCCUGAGCUGACGACAGCCGCAGAAACCAGGCCGCUGCAACUGUUUAUUAAAAACAUAGCACUCUGCAAACACGAAAGUGGACGUAUAGGGUGUGAUGCCUGCCCGGUGCUGGAAGGUUAAUUGAUGGGGUUAGCGUAAGCGAAGCUCUUGAUCGAAGCCCCAGUAAACGGCGGCCGUAACUAUAACGGUCCUAAGGUAGCGAAAUUCCUUGUCGGGUAAGUUCCGACCUGCACGAAUGGCAUAAUGAUGGCGGCGCUGUCUCCAGCAGAGGCUCAGUGAAAUCGAAAUCGCUGUGAAGAUGCAGUGUACCCGCGGCUAGACGGAAAGACCCCGUGAACCUUUACUGCAGCUUGACACUGAACUUUGACCUUACUUGUGUAGGAUAGGUGGGAGGCUUUGAAGCUGGAACGCUAGUUCCAGUGGAGCCGUCCUUGAAAUACCACCCUGGUAAUGUUGAGGUUCUAACUCUGUCCCGUGAUCCGGGACGAGGACCGUGUCUGGUGGGUAGUUUGACUGGGGCGGUCUCCUCCUAAAGAGUAACGGAGGAGUACGAAGGUGCGCUCAGCGUGGUCGGAAAUCACGCGUAGAGUAUAAAGGCAAAAGCGCGCUUAACUGCGAGACCCACAAGUCGAGCAGGUACGAAAGUAGGUCUUAGUGAUCCGGUGGUUCUGUAUGGAAGGGCCAUCGCUCAACGGAUAAAAGGUACUCUGGGGAUAACAGGCUGAUACCGCCCAAGAGUUCAUAUCGACGGCGGUGUUUGGCACCUCGAUGUCGGCUCAUCUCAUCCUGGGGCUGAAGCAGGUCCCAAGGG
This 2532-nucleotide ribosomal RNA is filed under the name Acinetobacter baumannii 25878_1. RNAcentral describes it as "bacterial LSU rRNA". It matches the Rfam family "Bacterial large subunit ribosomal RNA", at positions 3 to 2571 of the family's 2925-position model. The record is from RNAcentral. Lineage: Bacteria; Pseudomonadati; Pseudomonadota; Gammaproteobacteria; Moraxellales; Moraxellaceae.